RNAcentral lists this small RNA (30 nucleotides) under Bombyx mori (domestic silkworm). Its description in RNAcentral is "ovarian small RNA-28167". Lineage: Eukaryota; Metazoa; Arthropoda; Insecta; Lepidoptera; Bombycidae. The record is from RNAcentral.
UCGAACUCGGCGAGGCUCCUAUUCGGAGAU